UAGUUCACGAGAAAUUUGUGCAAAAGUUGGUAGUUCAUAUAGAAAAAGGUAAUUACCGCUCCCUUCUUUUAUUUCUUUUUUUCUUAUUUCUCUUGUCUUUCCUCUUUCAUUCUUGUCCUCCUCUUCCGACGAGAUACAUAGAGCAAGAUUGAGAGAGUGAGAGAUAGAGAACGAGAGGGUGAGAGAAUAGAGAGACCGAGAAUGAGAGAUGAAAUUGGGAGAGAGAGAGAGAGAGAGAGAGAAGACCGAUUGAAGAGGGAGAGAAUCGGAGACGCAGAGAGAAGCCGUGAGGCCCGAUCCUCCGUGGGUCUGAUUUCCGGCGAACUCGAGAGGCAGGGAGAGAAAUCAGAAGCCGAUUUCCGACGGGUCAAAGUGAUUUCCGGCGACUGGGUUGAAAAUCAUCCCUUUGAUGAUUUCCGAUGGGUGCGAAGUCCGGUGGCCUGAGACGCGAUUUUCGGCAAUCAUCGCCGGUGUGCCAGGGCUGUGAUUUCCGGUAGAUUAUCUAGAUGCAUGGAGACAAUGGAGUGGACUGGGGACUCCAGUUGAAAUAUAAAAUUUGUCACCUAACAGUUGCCUUCUAUAAUGGCCAGUUGCUCACCAAACGGUGUAUAUUGACUAUCAAUAACUACAAUUUAUUUAUAUAAUAUUAUUAUUAUUA
Molecule: long non-coding RNA, 658 nt
Organism: Alnus glutinosa
Lineage: Eukaryota; Viridiplantae; Streptophyta; Magnoliopsida; Fagales; Betulaceae
Exons: 2
Source: RefSeq, a predicted model, not a curated record